Non-coding RNA from Pelobates cultripes (western spadefoot toad), 317 nucleotides. The record is from the annotation of a GenBank genome assembly. Lineage: Eukaryota; Metazoa; Chordata; Amphibia; Anura; Pelobatidae.
CUCGCCUCCGUGUCUUUAAUAAAAUCAUGACUUUCCGUCAUGAUAAUUGUAAUAUCCUCGAAUUUUAUUAAAGACCCGGAGGCUCCUAUUAUGCUAUUUUAAAGCUGUGAGAUCACGGCUUCUGCAAAAUGCUGUAUUGGUUUGAAAUAGAAAUUUCGUCCUCCGUGAGAUGUCAAAGACUACUCCUUCUGGAGAGAAGGAUCGGGCAUUGACAUCGAGUGCUCUAACGUCUGACACUCUCUUGCAAGAGAUUAGGCAUAACAGCAUAACUAGUUUAGCUGAUAGUUGUUUCAACGAUAGCGACUCGUUGUCUGGCC